RNAcentral lists this ribosomal RNA (457 nucleotides) under uncultured Anoxybacillus sp. Its description in RNAcentral is "bacterial SSU rRNA". It matches the Rfam family "Bacterial small subunit ribosomal RNA", at positions 925 to 1382 of the family's 1533-position model. The record is from RNAcentral. Lineage: Bacteria; Bacillati; Bacillota; Bacilli; Caryophanales; Anoxybacillaceae.
ACAAGCGGUGGAGCAUGUGGUUUAAUUCGAAGCAACGCGAAGAACCUUACCAGGUCUUGACAUCCCCUGACAACCCGAGAGAUCGGGCGUUCCCCUUCGGGGACAGGGUGACAGGUGGUGCAUGGUUGUCGUCAGCUCGUGUCGUGAGAUGUUGGGUUAAGUCCCGCAACGAGCGCAACCCUCGACCUUAGUUGCCAGCAUUCAGUUGGGCACUCUAAGGUGACUGCCGGCUAAAAGUCGGAGGAAGGUGGGGAUGACGUCAAAUCAUCAUGCCCCUUAUGACCUGGGCUACACACGUGCUACAAUGGGCGGUACAAAGGGUCGCGAACCCGCGAGGGGGAGCCAAUCCCAAAAAGCCGCUCUCAGUUCGGAUUGCAGGCUGCAACUCGCCUGCAUGAAGCCGGAAUCGCUAGUAAUCGCGGAUCAGCAUGCCGCGGUGAAUGCGUUCCCGGGCCUU